GCGACCCCAGGUCAGGCGGGNAUCACCCGCUG
Molecule: ribosomal RNA, 32 nt
Filed under: Utricularia alpina
Lineage: Eukaryota; Viridiplantae; Streptophyta; Magnoliopsida; Lamiales; Lentibulariaceae
Description: partial 26S ribosomal RNA
Source: RNAcentral